This 1116-nucleotide ribosomal RNA is filed under the name Vibrio harveyi. RNAcentral describes it as "bacterial SSU rRNA". It matches the Rfam family "Bacterial small subunit ribosomal RNA", at positions 341 to 1451 of the family's 1533-position model. Lineage: Bacteria; Pseudomonadati; Pseudomonadota; Gammaproteobacteria; Vibrionales; Vibrionaceae. The record is from RNAcentral.
ACGGGAGGCAGCAGUGGGGAAUAUUGCACAAUGGGCGCAAGCCUGAUGCAGCCAUGCCGCGUGUGUGAAGAAGGCCUUCGGGUUGUAAAGCACUUUCAGUCGUGAGGAAGGUAGUGUAGUUAAUAGCUGCAUUAUUUGACGUUAGCGACAGAAGAAGCACCGGCUAACUCCGUGCCAGCAGCCGCGGUAAUACGGAGGGUGCGAGCGUUAAUCGGAAUUACUGGGCGUAAAGCGCAUGCAGGUGGUUUGUUAAGUCAGAUGUGAAAGCCCGGGGCUCAACCUCGGAAUAGCAUUUGAAACUGGCAGACUAGAGUACUGUAGAGGGGGGUAGAAUUUCAGGUGUAGCGGUGAAAUGCGUAGAGAUCUGAAGGAAUACCGGUGGCGAAGGCGGCCCCCUGGACAGAUACUGACACUCAGAUGCGAAAGCGUGGGGAGCAAACAGGAUUAGAUACCCUGGUAGUCCACGCCGUAAACGAUGUCUACUUGGAGGUUGUGGCCUUGAGCCGUGGCUUUCGGAGCUAACGCGUUAAGUAGACCGCCUGGGGAGUACGGUCGCAAGAUUAAAACUCAAAUGAAUUGACGGGGGCCCGCACAAGCGGUGGAGCAUGUGGUUUAAUUCGAUGCAACGCGAAGAACCUUACCUACUCUUGACAUCCAGAGAACUUUCCAGAGAUGGAUUGGUGCCUUCGGGAACUCUGAGACAGGUGCUGCAUGGCUGUCGUCAGCUCGUGUUGUGAAAUGUUGGGUUAAGUCCCGCAACGAGCGCAACCCUUAUCCUUGUUUGCCAGCACUUCGGGUGGGAACUCCAGGGAGACUGCCGGUGAUAAACCGGAGGAAGGUGGGGACGACGUCAAGUCAUCAUGGCCCUUACGAGUAGGGCUACACACGUGCUACAAUGGCGCAUACAGAGGGCGGCCAACUUGCGAGAGUGAGCGAAUCCCAAAAAGUGCGUCGUAGUCCGGAUCGGAGUCUGCAACUCGACUCCGUGAAGUCGGAAUCGCUAGUAAUCGUGGAUCAGAAUGCCACGGUGAAUACGUUCCCGGGCCUUGUACACACCGCCCGUCACACCAUGGGAGUGGGCUGCAAAAGAAGUAGGUAGUUAACCUUCGGGAGGAC